Molecule: ribosomal RNA, 426 nt
Filed under: uncultured Butyricicoccus sp.
Lineage: Bacteria; Bacillati; Bacillota; Clostridia; Eubacteriales; Butyricicoccaceae
Description: bacterial SSU rRNA
Rfam family: Bacterial small subunit ribosomal RNA
Source: RNAcentral
UGGGGGAAUAUUGCACAAUGGGGGGAAACCCGUAGAUGCAGCGACGCCGCGUGAAGGAAGAAGUAUCUCGGUAUGUAAACUUCUAUCAGCAGGGAAGAAAAUGACGGUACCUGAAGAAUAAGCUCCGGCUAACUACGUGCCAGCAGCCGCGGUAAUACGUAGGGAGCAAGCGUUAUCCGGAUUUACUGGGUGUAAAGGGCGUGUAGGCGGGUCUGUAAGUUGGGAGUGAAAUCCAGGGGCUUAACCCCUGAACUGCUUUCAAAACUGCGGAUCUUGAGUGAUGGAGAGGCAGGCGGAAUUCCCAGUGUAGCGGUGAAAUGCGUAGAUAUUGGGAGGAACACCAGUAGCGAAGGCGGCCUGCUGGACAUUAACUGACGCUGAGGCGCGAAAGCGUGGGGAGCAAACAGGAUUAGAUACCCUGGUAGU